RNAcentral lists this ribosomal RNA (406 nucleotides) under uncultured bacterium. Its description in RNAcentral is "partial 16S ribosomal RNA". It matches the Rfam family "Bacterial small subunit ribosomal RNA", at positions 30 to 526 of the family's 1533-position model. The record is from RNAcentral.
AUUGAGCGCUGUCGGCAGGCCUAACACAUGCAAGUCGAGCGAGCGGCGGACGGGUGAGUAAUGCCUAGGAAUCUGCCUGGUAGUGGGGGAUAACGUCCGGAAACGGGCGCUAAUACCGCAUACCAACGGCUGCGCCCAGAUCGGAUUAGCCCGUAGGUGGGGUAAAGGUCCACCUAGGCAACGAUCCCAAGCUGGUCUGAGAGGAGGACUAGCCACACUGGAACUGCGACACGGUCCAGACUCCUACGGUAGGCAGCAGUGGGGAGUAUUGUACAAUGGGCGCAAGCCUGAUGCAGCCAUGCCGCGUGUAUGAAGAAGGCCUUCGGGUUGUAAAGUACUUUCAGCGGGGAGGCAUUACCCGCAGAAGAAGCACCGGCUAACUCCGUGCCAGCAGCCGCGGUAAUUC